Long non-coding RNA from Marmota flaviventris (yellow-bellied marmot), 312 nucleotides. RefSeq lists it as uncharacterized. The record is from RefSeq and is a predicted model, not a curated record. Lineage: Eukaryota; Metazoa; Chordata; Mammalia; Rodentia; Sciuridae.
CAAUUAUGGAUGAGUUAAUUCACUGAUGAGUUCAUAGCCCUCAUGAUCCAAUCAUUUCCUAAAGUCUCUACCUCUGAACAUUUCUGCAUUGGGAACGGAAGCCUUCAACAUUUUCCCAGGUUCCACUGACUUUUUCACUUCUUUACUUGAUCUGGCUGUCUGCUGAACAAAAGAAUCACUUAAUUCUGCAAGCUCCAUUCAUGGAAAUGAAGUAUCUGAAGACCAGCAUUCCAUUUCUACCAGCUGGGUCCAGACCUUUGGGCUCACAUUUCCUGCUGAUCUUGAAGAACCUGUAGUCGUUCUUGGAAGUUG